GCGUAUUCACGUUUGAUGUGGUAUGCGAUGUACAUAGGAGUGAAUCAAAGUGUGGACAACAUCAAAUGCGAGCAAUAGGUAGAAUAAAUGAAGAUUAGGUCAUCCAAUAUACAUAGUUAGUGUAGGACAAUCGGGUAGUAUGAUGAAGGUAACUGUUAUUAUGAGAUACGGUUAACACAGAAGUGAUAUUGAACAUGCAAAUUUUAACAUUGUUAUUUCCCUUUUACAUCUUUCAAUGCGCAUGGCUGAAGCAAUGCGCAAGGAGGGAUGUAGUGUGAAAUUAAACCAAAGUAGAUACUGUAAAACAAUUAAAAUUAGAAUUCAUGGAAAUAUGUUUUUGAACAACUAACUGCUGUACAUGAGUUUGUAUUUCUGCAAUAGAAACAAAAGUUCCAGAACCAGAUGCAGACACACCUGGAGCCUACAAACUACCACCGCCGAGCAAGGACCAACAGUCACAUGAGGAGAUCAAAUAACAGCAGGAUUUGAAUCGCUCCGGAUGGGUUGGUGGCCAGGGCGCUGGCCACCUGUUACUGACACGACGACGACGGAGAACCUGUUUGGAGGCUCCCAUGAUGUAGGAGUAACCUCUCUGAGAUGAGCCCUUGACAAGGAGGGACGAGUCUUGGGUUCAUGAAUUACAGGCCCGACGGCGACAGAAAAAACAAUGACUACGAUAAUAACAUCGCCCAAAACCACCCACAUGAACCGGCGCACCAAUACACGAAGAUCACCUGAACCCCCCAAAUCCAUGCCCAAACCACCCACAUGAACCGGUGCACCAAUACACGAAGAUCACCUGAAUCACCCGAAUCCAUGCUAGGCUAUCAAUAAUCUUGAAUUUUUUUAAAUUGUAUUAUGACUACCAAUUUUUACUUUACUUUUGCACAUGAUGAAAAUUGUAUGACCUUGUAGCACAUGACCAAAAGUAUUAGCUCAGGAUUUCUAUGGAUGGUUUUGUUUGUGUGCUGUUUGGCCAUGUGAUUGUAUGAUAACAAGAUUCAUGUUCAUUGUUGUAUUGUUAAAUAAUGACCUGUAUUUCCAAUGAGACCCACAAUGUGAA
This is a long non-coding RNA of Gadus macrocephalus (Pacific cod), 1063 nucleotides long. RefSeq lists it as uncharacterized. The record is from RefSeq and is a predicted model, not a curated record. NCBI's taxonomy places the organism in Eukaryota, Metazoa, Chordata, Actinopteri, Gadiformes, Gadidae. The transcript has 2 exons.